AGAGUUUGAUCAUGGCUCAGAACGAACGCUGGCGGCAGGCCUAACACAUGCAAGUCGAACGAGAAGCCACCUUUCGGGUGGUGGACAGUGGCAGACGGGUGAGUAACGCGUGGGAACGUGCCUUUCGGUUCGGAAUAACCCAGGGAAACUUGGGCUAAUACCGGAUACGCCCUUCGGGGGAAAGAUUCAUUGCCGAAAGAUCGGCCCGCGUCGGAUUAGCUAGUUGGUGGGGUAAUGGCUCACCAAGGCGACGAUCCGUAGCUGGUCUGAGAGGAUGACCAGCCACACUGGGACUGAGACACGGCCCAGACUCCUACGGGAGGCAGCAGUGGGGAAUAUUGGACAAUGGGCGAAAGCCUGAUCCAGCCAUGCCGCGUGGGUGAAGAAGGCCUUAGGGUUGUAAACCCCUUUCAGCGGGGAAGAUAAUGACGGUACCCGCAGAAGAAGUCCCGGCUAACUCCGUGCCAGCAGCCGCGGUAAUACGGAGGGGACUAGCGUUGUUCGGAAUUACUGGGCGUAAAGCGCACGUAGGCGGAUUUGUAAGUCAGGGGUGAAAUCCCGGGGCUCAACCUCGGAACUGCCUUUGAUACUGGGUAACUAGAGUUUAGUAGAGGAGAGUGGAAUUUCCGGUGUAGCGGUGAAAUGCGUAGAUAUCGGAAGGAACACCAGUGGCGAAGGCGACUCUCUGGACUAAAACUGACGCUGAGGUACGAAAGCGUGGGUAGCAAACAGGAUUAGAUACCCUGGUAGUCCACGCCGUAAACGAUGUCAACUAGCCGUUGGGUCUUUAAAAAGACUUAGUGGCGCAGCUAACGCAAUAAGUUGACCGCCUGGGGAGUACGGCCGCAAGGUUAAAACUCAAAGGAAUUGACGG
RNAcentral lists this ribosomal RNA (874 nucleotides) under uncultured bacterium. RNAcentral's name for it is "bacterial SSU rRNA". It matches the Rfam family "Bacterial small subunit ribosomal RNA", at positions 8 to 916 of the family's 1533-position model. The record is from RNAcentral.